GGCCUCGUAGCUCAGUUGGCUAGAGCGUUGGCUGUACUAAAGCCUUGCCCUUGCUGGCGUGGGUUCAAAUCCCACCAAGUUUU
RNAcentral lists this transfer RNA (83 nucleotides) under Schistocephalus solidus. It matches the Rfam family "tRNA". From Rfam's summary of the family: Transfer RNA (tRNA) molecules are approximately 80 nucleotides in length. The record is from Rfam by way of RNAcentral. Lineage: Eukaryota; Metazoa; Platyhelminthes; Cestoda; Diphyllobothriidea; Diphyllobothriidae.